UAAUACGUAGGGAGCAAGCGUUAUCCGGAUUUACUGGGUGUAAAGGGCGAGUAGGCGGGCAUGCAAGUUGGGAGUGAAAUCCGGGGGCUUAACCCCCGAACUGCUUUCAAAACUGCGUGUCUUGAGUGAUGGAGAGGCAGGCGGAAUUCCCAGUGUAGCGGUGAAAUGCGUAGAUAUUGGGAGGAACACCAGUGGCGAAGGCGGCCUGCUGGACAUUAACUGACGCUGAGGCGCGAAAGCGUGGGGAGCAAACAGG
This 256-nucleotide ribosomal RNA is filed under the name uncultured bacterium. RNAcentral's name for it is "partial 16S ribosomal RNA". It matches the Rfam family "Bacterial small subunit ribosomal RNA", at positions 521 to 776 of the family's 1533-position model. The record is from RNAcentral.